GGCUUUAUAGUAAAAAUUGAAUAAUAUCAGAUUGCAAGUCUGAAGAUGUGUUAACACUGAAGCUU
RNAcentral lists this transfer RNA (65 nucleotides) under Calappa bilineata. RNAcentral describes it as "tRNA-Cys". The record is from RNAcentral. Lineage: Eukaryota; Metazoa; Arthropoda; Malacostraca; Decapoda; Calappidae.